GUGGACCCUACACCACAUAUAUUAAAAUUGGAACAAUACAGAAAAUAUUAGCAUGGCCUCUGUGCAAGGAUGACAUACAGAUUUGUGAAGCUUCUAGAGAUGUC
This is a small nuclear RNA of Heteronotia binoei (common prickly gecko), 104 nucleotides long. NCBI's taxonomy places the organism in Eukaryota, Metazoa, Chordata, Lepidosauria, Squamata, Gekkonidae. The record is from RefSeq and is a predicted model, not a curated record.